CCUACGGGUGGCAGCAGUGAGGAAUUUUGGUCAAUGGGCUUUCGCCUGAACCAGCCAAGUCGCGUGAGGGAAGACUGCCCUAUGGGUUGUAAACCUCUUUUGUCAGGGAGCAACGCCGGCUACGUGUAGCCGGACUGAGAGUAACUGAAGAAAAAGCAUCGGCUAACUCCGUGCCAGCAGCCGCGGUAAUACGGAGGAUGCGAGCGUUAUCCGUAUUUAUGGGGGUUAAAGGGUGCGCAGGCGGAAGGUCAGGUCAGCGUUAAGAUUUCGGGGCUCACCUCCGUCGUGCAGUUGAGACUGGCGUUCUUGAGUGAGGUAGAGGUAUGCGGAAUGCGAGGUGUAGCGGUGAAAUGCAUAGAUAUCAGGCAGAACACCGAUUGCGAAGGCAGCAUACAGGCGCUCAACUGACGCUGAUGCACGAAAGCGAGGGUAUCGAACAGGAUUAGAUACCCUUGUAGUC
RNAcentral lists this ribosomal RNA (460 nucleotides) under uncultured bacterium. RNAcentral describes it as "partial 16S ribosomal RNA". It matches the Rfam family "Bacterial small subunit ribosomal RNA", at positions 338 to 795 of the family's 1533-position model. The record is from RNAcentral.